UGUAUCCUUGAAUGGAUUUUUGGAGCAGGAGUGGACACCUGACCCAAAGGAAAUCAAUCCAUAGGCUAGCAAU
Molecule: microRNA precursor, 73 nt
Organism: Homo sapiens (human)
Lineage: Eukaryota; Metazoa; Chordata; Mammalia; Primates; Hominidae
Product: microRNA 1246
Source: Ensembl